This 104-nucleotide small nuclear RNA is filed under the name Canis lupus dingo (dingo). Lineage: Eukaryota; Metazoa; Chordata; Mammalia; Carnivora; Canidae. The record is from RNAcentral.
GUGCUUGCUUCAGCAACACAUAUACUAAAAUUGGAACAAUACAGAGAUUAGCAUGGCCCCUGCACAAGAAUGACAUGCAAAUUUAUAAAGCAUUCCAUACUUUA